This 5681-nucleotide long non-coding RNA is filed under the name Sus scrofa (pig). Its description in RNAcentral is "lncRNA (ENSSSCG00040005375.1)". The record is from RNAcentral. Lineage: Eukaryota; Metazoa; Chordata; Mammalia; Artiodactyla; Suidae.
GGCCCGGGGGCAGCCGGAGGCCUCCGCACGGCCGCAGGAUUCUAAAGUUCACUUGCUGCGGACUCCUUCGCACCAGAGUGUCUUUUUUAUGAGCCAGAAGACAGAGACCUGGGGACCUCCCUGAUCAGCCACGAAGGUUUGGAAGAGGUUUAGUUUGUAUUAGUUUGCAUUAUGAAAACAAUAGGUAAAAAUUGUUUAUUCUCCAAAUCUAGGAUUCUUCUGCGAAAUCUGAGUGUUGAACUUCCAGAAUCGGUCUCUGAGGAGCACCCAGAGUUUGGGGGCUGAGUCUGUGAAGGACCCACCCUGCCCUAGCACCCCCCGCUUCCCUCGGGCCAUUUAGCUUUUCACAGAGAAUAGUCAGUGGGGACCUUUCUGCUCACAGAUGCUGGCCUCAGAGACCAGGCGCUGGGCCAGAGGCUGGGAGAGAGAGCGCGAGCCUGGGAGGCUUGGUGCCCUUCCUGCGGGGGUGGGGGUGGGGGUGGGGGGCAGCACCAGCCCUGCAGGCCACCCCUCAAUGUUGGUGGCAGAGUGGGUCUGCUCAGGAAGGGACCCUCUUUCACCGGAGCACCUUCCUGGGGGGGCCUGGGAGAAACUGCCUUACAGAGCGCUCAUCCGUCCCUGACGCUUCCCACAUCGGUCCUGGAUGGCACCUGUUAAAAUCCCUCUGCGCUCCUUGGUAAACCGUCCCAACCCCCAAAUGGACACUUCCCAGCCCAGCCCCGAAAGGGUUAACAGCAGGUGCAGCAGGGGGGCUUUGGGACCCCGCCUCAGCCCGCUUCCCUUCCAUCGGUCAGUGGGGGAUGACAGCUGCCCCCAGCCCGAGCUUUUACCAAAGUAUUAGGUGGCCAGUUGGUGACCUAUCAGUGAACUUGGGAGAUUGCAUUCACCCUCAAAUUUUCCUUCUGUGGAGGCACCAAAUAUCUCUCCCAUGAUUUCAUUGUUUUGUAUGCAGCUUCGGCCUCCUCUCUGAUCCUGUUUUCAAACAUUCUUUACAUCUUCGUCUUUGCAGAUCUUGUGCCCUGGGCACGGGGCAGCCAGGGUGGUGUGGGAGGCAAGAUGCAGGGGAUGACGUAUGGGCCUGCCCAGCUGGACGACACAGACGCUGCUCGCGGGGGGGCGGGGGGAGGGCUUUGGGGGACCUGGGGCCGGAGGUUGGAGUCUCAGCAGGACAGAGGGGGCCCGCCUGGUCCUCAGCAUCCUGAUAGGAUCAGGUACUUCGGGAAAUGCAGAGCAGCUGUCACGCCCCUUUCCAAGGUUUGGUCGCAGUCCUCUGUGGGUGACUGUGUUGGAAGUGGCAGCUGGCCCUUGUCACCUUCUCACAUACACAUAUUCCAGAAGGAAAGCAGAGAGUCCCUGAGCUCAUCUCAGCUUGAGGUUUCCCGAACAGGACGACACAGAGCUGGUCCCAUCCACCUUGGAAGUAUUUCCCUUUGGAGCCAGGCAGAGCCCCGAGGUCGGUUCCGGCCCCAGAUGCACCUUUUUCGGAAGCCAGCUCAGAACGCCCCCGCCUCCCUUGGGUUUUUGGUGGAGAUGGGCCCUCUGAUGGGUUAGGGGGCUCAGCUCCUACAGGCUGCCUGGGACCCUUCCUAGGUGUGCAUUCCAGAACCCCUGCAUCCUAGCUGUGUGCCCUUGAGCCAACUGCCAAACUUCUCAGAGCCUCAGUUUUCUCAUCUGAAAUAAUGAAGAUAAUAAAAGUACUAACUUCAUAAGGUGGUUGCGAGGAUUAAGUGCAUAUAUAUAUUUUACAAGGUGAUUACUCAUUGGGUAUCAGCGGCUGCUUCCUCCCUUCUUCCCUCCCUCCCUUCCUUCCUUCCCCAAAUUCUCACUGGUCUUAUGAGCUCCAUGUAAUACAUUCGGCUGUGGGAGGAAUCCUAGAUAGUUGGCAGUAACUCAGGCACGAGAAGAGAAAGAGUGGCUGGCCAGUGCAGAAACCAUACUAGGUCUUUCAACUGUGAGCAUCUAAUAUAGGGCCCUGGUUACACAGAUGAUGGAGCUGCCGGACCAAGCAGAGGACGCGGUGUGAUUGGAAUCCAGAAGCCAGGUUCGGUACGGCAUGUGGGGCCAUGAAGGGAGGGGACCUUGGAGCCACAGAAGAACCACAGUUGCUGCUGGGGAGGUGGCAGGAAGCUGUUGGCGGGGGGAGGCAGGGACAGUGCUCUGGCUGCUCCCUUCCUCGUACCCCUCUGAUGUUCUGCCGGGGUAAGGGCACCCCAGAAGGAGAUUCCUUGCAGUACUGGGCAGGCCAGGAGAAGGGUGCGCAGGGAGCAAACUGGCAUUUGACCAGUGCAAGAACCAGGCCUUCUCUAACCCUGCUGCCAUGGUGACCCUGGGUGACAAAAACCUUUGUCACCAGGGUGGCUGCCCUUGUGGCCGCAGGUCCCAAUGUGCAGCAGCUUCAGUCAUUGUCCCUUCAAGCCUCUGCUUCCUAGGAACCCCGGGGGGAAAAAAGUGGCGUCAGCCGCAGGUGGGAACCGGGGAGGGGGGAAGAAAGAUUUCCCCUUUCCAGGUAAGAGGUGCAGAUUCUAAGCACAUGCCCACAUGAGGCCCUGCGUGGGGCUUCUCCACGGCAUCUCAGGAGCAUAAAUAGGAUUAUACUUCCGCGGGGCUCGUGGGAAAAUUCUAGAUGGACCACAGGCCUGCCUCAGAUCAGGCCUUCCUUAUUGGAAACCUUCCUUCUCGGAAAGGUCCUUGGGAAGUUGGGUUAAUUUGGAAAUUGGGCUUAAUUGGUUUGGCGCCCAAACCCAAACAACAAAACAGUGGCUCUUUCUCUGCUUGAAGCUCGUGCAUUUUCCUCAUUGGACAUCUUGUUUGGGUGCUGUACGUUUCCCGGUUUAUUGCUUUAGCGCAAUGGGAAGGUCCUGAGUGACUGGCGGCAUGUUAAUGUGAUGGUUGUCUUGGGAACGGGGCGGACGCCUGGCUGAAGCGAACUUCUUGUCCGCCAGGGUGGGAACAUGGCAGGGCCGAGUGAGCUCUCGUUACUAGGUUGAUCGAUCACGGAGGGUUUCACCUUCCCCAGACCUCAGGCAGAAUCGGCAUUGAUUGACAGAAGGGACAAGAGACAGACAUUUGGAACAAAAACAGGUGAUUAAAUUGCAGAGCCACUCUGGCGGAUCCCAGGCCCCAGCCCGCAGGACGCUGGCUCCUGGGACCUCCAGAUCAGGGAGGGCCACAGCAAAUGAUCCUUGGUGGGUUGAAGGAACCCGCUAGGAGAGAGAAGUUCACCCAGAAAAUGACUACAUAAACAACUUUCCAGGGGGCCUAUUUAAAAUGCUCAGGGGAAUAAAUUGUUUUAAAGCAUUUAAAAAACACCAUUUACAUACAAUUAAUAUGUUGAUUGCACAGCGUUCUUAUUAAUUCAUUAUAGCAAGGAUUUCCACGUAGCAAAACAGCUUGGCAGUGCUUGGCUUAGUUUGUGAUAUAGCAUGAGCUAGGAAAUUGCAUAUACAAGGGCUAUAUAUAACCACUAAAUAUAAUCACAUGCACGAACACGUAUAAAUGUCAAAAUAUGUAAAAUUUAGAGUCUUUGGUAAUUCAGAUCUCAUUUCUCAGCAUCCUUACCCUACCUUACACUAACCCACCUUCUGCCACACAGGGCGGAACGAAGGAGAUUUUCUUUUCCAUCCUUACAACCCCAGAGCCCCGGCUUGUUAUCACAGUAAAGGGCCGUGACCAAGAGCCGAAUCUGAUCACCGAGAUGGCCUGCGUGAGAAAUGUCGCUGCUGUGGUUGAACAGAAGCCCUGCUUUAACCGAGCAGGAGAGAGGCCCAUGCCAGAGGGACAACAGUGGCGUUUGGCGGGGAGCUCAAGCAGAUGAGUGGACGCGCAUGACAGAGGUCUGGGAACCUUUCAUUAGGCAUCCCCAGGAAAUGUGGUCUUGACCUUGACGCCCCUAGAGUAUAAUGACAUUGUUUUCGGUUUUUCCUGGCAGCGUAACUCACGACCCCGGACCUUGUUGGCCGGGAACAAAACGAAUUUGAUUAUUUUUCACAGUUGUCUGGGUUGACUAGGGCUCAGCGGGGUGGAUCUUCUGCUGGUCUUGCUGGUGGCUGGAGUCAGAUGGGUGGAACUGGAAGGUUUGUGAGGAUGGCCUUGCCCACAGGUCCCGCUCUUUGAGGGGGUGUGGCCGGGAGCUUGCAGCCUCUCUGUCCACGUGGCUAACGUGGGCUUCUUCCAGUGGUGGCUGGAUCCCAAGAGAACGGCGCGCCUGUGCUUAUCUGGCCUCCGCCUGCCUCCCUCUUGCUAAGAUCCCAUUGGCCAAAGCACGUCGCAUGACCAGGCACGGCAUCAGAGGGGGAGGCGAUUAGACCAGGAGUGAACACACAGGAGUGCAGCUUACGGGCAGCCACCACACACUGUCUGUCACAAGGACACUGCUGUUUCUGUCCUCUGAGAGGCUGUUAUUCUGUAUUCCCUGUGUGUUCCCCGCCCUUCCUCCCUCCAGCUCCCCGCUUUCCCAUCAGAGGCAGAUGUGGGGUGGGCAGAGGACCGCACGGUGGUCAGUGGUGAGGGCGGGGGUGUGACCAGCCCCCUCCCCGCCCCCUCCCCAGUCGGCCUCUCAGCAUCCUGGACCAGCGGUCCUUACUUCUGAACUUAUUCUCUGCCCUCCCCUUCCCCCCAGAAUAAGAAAGGUUAUACAAUAUACAGACUGAGCAGGCAGGAUAUAUAUUUUUUUAAGAUUCCAACUCAGAUGUUUUAAUAUUUCACUGAGCCACUGCAGAAAGCCCUUCAUUAUGGGAUGGAAAUGCUUGGAAAAUGGCCUUCUAAUUAAUGUGAAAUGAGAGAGUGCCCCUCCGAGCAAGGGAGACUUGGCAGCUGGGAGGGUGAUGUCAGCAGGCCAGCACUUCCUGGGCGGGGUGAUUGGAUGGGGCCCCAGCCCAGGAUAGAUUUGCCUCAUGGAGCCCAUUCAGCAUAAAUCCUGCCACGGGGCCAGGCUGGAGACAGCAAAUUGAGAACCUUCCACAGCUCACUGAGUUACCGCUUCCCAGAAAUUGCUGAAGCCAUUGAUCUCGAUCUUUUUACAUCAUUAAAUGAUUUUGCCAUUCGGGCACGCAGCGGGUCUGCAUUUGGUGACCUGCAGGCAGCGGGAGUGGGUUCAACAGAGGAUCCCCGGGCUCGGCUUUGGCUGGGCACAGGCUCAGUCACGUGGUCGCAUGACAGUGACCUUGACACCAGCAAGACUGCUUCUAAAUAAGACACAAAAUGGCUCACUCGGCCAGCCCUCCCUCUGUCCUCUGAGAGUCUCAGUAGAGCGGUGCAUUUCUGAGAGACCUUAAAAGCGGCUCGCACCCUGCCCUGGGAGCCCCCGGGAGACGGUUACUGGGCUGCGUACCUCUCUCUUCUGGGAUGUCUCCCUCGUUGGAUAAAGCAAUCGGCAGAGCUGUUAUGGAGCAAGGGGAAUUAAGAACCUGGCUUCUGGAAUUCCCGUUGUGGCUCAGCAGGUUAAGAGCCCAAUAUAGUGUUGGUGAAGAUGCGGGUUCGAUCCCUGGCCUCGCUCAGUGGGUUAAGGAUCCAGCGUUGCCGUGAGCCGUGGUGUAGGUCACAGACGAGGCUCAGAUCCAGUGUUACUGUGGCUGUGGUUUAGGCUGGCAGCCGCAGCUCUUAUUCAACCCCUAGCCUGGGAGCCUCCGUAUGUCAUGGGUGCUGCUGUAAAAAGAGAAAAAAAAAAAAAAAAAAAAAAAAAA